UAAGAUUAAAACGAUAAAACCAAUUUUACAAAUGUAAGCUAUAAUAAAUUGCGACAUGUCAAGGCUGAGUUUAGACUAGCAAGUUAUUGCUGCAAGUUUUGAGAUGCAACUAUAGGUAAGAGAGAGAGGCAAAUAUCUGCAUCUCUUUCUUGCGUAUACUUCUGUCUCAAAACUUGCAGCAAUAACUUGCACGUCUAAACUCAGCUUAAACUCUAUGUUGUACUGUUGUUUAUAGUCUGUGGCAAAUUUGACGCUGCAGCUGUCGUUUUGACAAGACAAUGACAAGUGAAUCAAGCUCAAGCGAAGUGAUGCUAUGUUGUAUCGUAAUAUUAAUUCUACAGUGUAUUCAUUUUAAUGCUCAAUUAAAUUGUACAUAAAUGAACAAUAAAACAGUGUUAAUUUAUUAGUCUCACCAUACAACUUAAGUGUCUUCUAUUUCUGUUUACCAGCAUGGGAGGGUGUCGGUGCACCUACAAGAAUUGUACCGUCAGGUCAGACGGAAAGACUCAUUUGUUUCACUACCCUGUGUUUGACAAGGUCCGUUGCCAUGAGUGGCUGACGAGAGCUGGCCGAUAUGACUUUCUUAACCUAAAGGUCUCGCAACUUAAGAAUCGCUGUAUAUGUCAAUUUCAUUUUGCAGAUGAUCAUUUCAUGAAUGAAAAAAAAGAUAAAUUAAAGUUAAAAGCAAUACCUACCUUGGAUGGUCCCUAUUGCGAUUCUAACAAAUUUAAAGAAGCUACAAUGCCACAGAACAUGUUGGGUGUAUAUCCACUAGCAUGUGAAGUAGUUGAAAACGAUGACUUAUUAUCCGAUAGAAAGUCAAACUAUAAUUUACUUUAUGCAGAUUAUUUGACGAAUGAUCCCAUGGACUAUAAGAUGAUAGAUGUGGAUAGUAAGGACUUGAUAAAUAUAGAGAAUGUGACCCCUCAAACUAAUAAUAAUAUUACAGAAGUGUUUACAUACAGAACUCGAUAUGCAGACAGAUCUAAAAUUAAUCAAAUAGAUGUACCAGAUAAAAAUAUGACUAAGGAUACUAUAGUUGUCGAAAUCCCACCACUCCCAGUUGUUACCAAAGAAGAAUUUCGACUGGAAGAUGAAGUUCCACCCUUACUUAAAAUUGACAACAAAAAGAGUAAAGUAAGAAUAAUAUCAGAAAAAAAAGAUAACAGAACCAGAAAAGAAGAUUAUUGUGCCUGUUUCAACUGCAUCAUUUGAGGUAGUUAAGCCUUCAAUGGUUUUAAGUAUUAAUAGGAAUAAAUCGAAAGAAAAUAACACUACAGUGCCUCAGCCUAAACAGGCACAAGAAACUCAGAAAAUUUUGAAGAAUAUAGAGAAAGAUGUAAAUGUAGUUGAUGAUAUUAUAAUGUCAUUCAACAAUGGCAAAGAAGAAACAAUUGUGCAGAAAAAUAUGCCUGCCUCUUGCAAACAUGUCGAAAGUAAUGUUGCAGAAAUACUUAACACUAGUGAUCCAAGUAAAUUUGAAAUUAUAAUUGACUCGAAUGAACCAAAACCUUUAGAUAAAGCAAAGUCUCCUCAAAAGAGAGAAAAUAAUACAGUUCAUAGUAUCAAAAAUAAAAUGUCCCCAGAAAGAGUAGCUGCAAUUAACGAGAAACGAAAAUUUAACAUGAAACUGAAAGAUAUAAUUGCACAAGAACUAAGCCGAUUAGAAGAACAAGGAUCUGCUGAUAAAGAUAUUCUGGUCCCAAAGAAAACAAGAAAUAACUAUGAUAUUAACUCAGAAAAAGUAAGGACUUCUUUAUCAAAAGACCCAAGUCUUCCAAAUGAACAUGCUUAUAUUGUACACUAUUUAGAGGCAAGAAUGGAAAAAAUGGAAAACUUGUUGUUAAACAAAAUUGAUCAAAACACUAAAA
This 1871-nucleotide long non-coding RNA is filed under the name Leguminivora glycinivorella. RNAcentral's name for it is "uncharacterized LOC125230015, transcript variant X2". Lineage: Eukaryota; Metazoa; Arthropoda; Insecta; Lepidoptera; Tortricidae. The record is from RNAcentral.